CCUACGGGAGGCAGCAGUGGGGAAUAUUGCACAAUGGGCGCAAGCCUGAUGCAGCGACGCCGCGUGAGGGAUGACGGCCUUCGGGUUGUAAACCUCUUUCAGUAGGGAAGAAGCGAAAGUGACGGUACCUGCAGAAGAAGCGCCGGCUAACUACGUGCCAGCAGCCGCGGUAAUACGUAGGGCGCAAGCGUUAUCCGGAAUUAUUGGGCGUAAAGAGCUCGUAGGCGGUUUGUCGCGUCUGCCGUGAAAGUCCGGGGCUCAACUCCGGAUCUGCGGUGGGUACGGGCAGACUAGAGUGAUGUAGGGGAGACUGGAAUUCCUGGUGUAGCGGUGAAAUGCGCAGAUAUCAGGAGGAACACCGAUGGCGAAGGCAGGUCUCUGGGCAUUAACUGACGCUGAGGAGCGAAAGCAUGGGGAGCGAACAGGAUUAGAUACCCUGGUAGUCCAUGCCGUAAACGUUGGGCACUAGGUGUGGGGGACGAUUCCACGUUUUCCGCGCCGUAGCUAACGCAUUAAGUGCCCCGCCUGGGGAGUACGGCCGCAAGGCUAAACGUCAAAUGAAUUGACGG
This 569-nucleotide ribosomal RNA is filed under the name uncultured bacterium. RNAcentral's name for it is "bacterial SSU rRNA". It matches the Rfam family "Bacterial small subunit ribosomal RNA", at positions 338 to 916 of the family's 1533-position model. The record is from RNAcentral.